UGUAUUUGUAAAUACYAAAGUAGUAUUAGUUAUGUUCUUGAAACUUAAAAAAUUUGGCGGUAUUUUAGUCUAUUCAGAGGAACCUGUUCUAUAAUCGAUAAUCCACGAUGGACCUUACUUAAAUUUGUUAAUCAGUUUAUAUACCGUCGUUAUUAGAAUAUUUUAUAAGAAUAAUAAUUUUCAUAAAAUUUUAUUAAAAUAUAUAUCAGAUCAAGGUGUAGCUUAUGUUUAAGUAGAAAUGGGUUACAAUAAAUUUAUUUAUACGAAUGUAAAUAUGAAAAAUUUACUGAAGGUGGAUUUGAUAGUAAAAUUAUAAAGAUUAAUAAUUUGAUUUUAGCUCUAAAAUAUGU
Molecule: ribosomal RNA, 350 nt
Filed under: Archiborborus hirtus
Lineage: Eukaryota; Metazoa; Arthropoda; Insecta; Diptera; Sphaeroceridae
Description: partial 12S ribosomal RNA
Source: RNAcentral